GAUGAACGCUGGCGGCGUGCCUAAUACAUGCAAGUCGAGCGAACAGAUGAGGAGCUUGCUCCUCUGACGCUAGCGGCGGACGGGUGAGUAACACGUGGAUAACCUACCUAUAAGACUGGGAUAACUUCGGGAAACCGGAGCUAAUACCGGAUAAUAUAUUGAACCGCAUGGUUCAAUAGUGAAAGACGGUUUUGCUGUCACUUAUAGAUGGAUCCGCGCCGCAUUAGCUAGUUGGUAAGGUAACGGCUUACCAAGGCAACGAUGCGUAGCCGACCUGAGAGGGUGAUCAGCCACACUGGAACUGAGACACGGUCCAGACUCCUACGGGAGGCAGCAGUGGGGAAUCUUCCGCAAUGGGCGAAAGCUUGACGGAGCAACGCCGCGUGAGUGAUGAAGGUCUUCGGAUCGUAAAACUCUGUUAUUAGGGAAGAACAAAUGUGUAAGUAACUAUGCACGUCUUGACGGUACCUAAUCAGAAAGCCACGGCUAACUACGUG
RNAcentral lists this ribosomal RNA (497 nucleotides) under uncultured bacterium. RNAcentral's name for it is "partial 16S ribosomal RNA". It matches the Rfam family "Bacterial small subunit ribosomal RNA", at positions 28 to 507 of the family's 1533-position model. The record is from RNAcentral.